RNAcentral lists this ribosomal RNA (305 nucleotides) under uncultured bacterium. Its description in RNAcentral is "bacterial SSU rRNA". It matches the Rfam family "Bacterial small subunit ribosomal RNA", at positions 338 to 635 of the family's 1533-position model. The record is from RNAcentral.
CCUACGGGGGGCAGCAGUAGGGAAUCUUCCACAAUGGGCGCAAGCCUGAUGGAGCAACACCGCGUGAGUGAAGAAGGGUUUCGGCUCGUAAAACCCUGUUGUUAGAGAAGAAAGUGCGUGAGAGUAACUGUUCACGCAGCGACGGUAUCUAACCAGAAAGCCACGGCUAACUACGUGCCAGCAGCCGCGGUAAUACGUAGGUGGCAAGCGUUAUCCGGAUUUAUUGGGCGUAAAGCGAACGCAGGCGGUCUUUUAAGGCUGAUGUGAAAGCCUUCGGCUUAACCGGAGGAGUGCAUUGGAAACUG